AUACGGAGGGAGCAAGCGUUAUUCGGAAUCACUGGGCGUAAAGGACGCGUAGGCGGGGUUGUAAGUCAGGUGUGAAAUCCUACAGCUCAACUGUAGAACUGCACUUGAAACUACAGACCUAGAGUAUGGAAGGGGCAGAUGGAAUUAGUGGUGUAGGGGUAAAAUCCGUAGAUAUCACUAGGAAUACCGAAAGCGAAGGCGAUCUGCUGGGACAUUACUGACGCUGAGGCGUGAAAGCGUGGGGAGCAAACAGGAUUAGAAACCCCAGUAGUCC
Molecule: ribosomal RNA, 274 nt
Filed under: uncultured bacterium
Lineage: Bacteria
Description: partial 16S ribosomal RNA
Rfam family: Bacterial small subunit ribosomal RNA
Source: RNAcentral